Monodelphis domestica (gray short-tailed opossum) is the source of this 46-nucleotide non-coding RNA. NCBI's taxonomy places the organism in Eukaryota, Metazoa, Chordata, Mammalia, Didelphimorphia, Didelphidae. The record is from Rfam.
AAAAAGGUUUUAUACAAAACCACAAACUCUAUAUUAUUAAAAUUUG